Molecule: ribosomal RNA, 443 nt
Filed under: uncultured bacterium
Lineage: Bacteria
Description: partial 16S ribosomal RNA
Rfam family: Bacterial small subunit ribosomal RNA
Source: RNAcentral
CCUACGGGUGGCAGCAGUGGGGAAUAUUGGGCAAUGGGCGCAAGCCUGACCCAGCAACGCCGCGUGAAGGAAGAAGGCUUUCGGGUUGUAAACUUCUUUUCUCAGGGACGAAGCAAGUGACGGUACCUGAGGAAUAAGCCACCGCUAACUACGUACCAGCAGCCGCGGUAAUACGUAGGUGGCAAGCGUUAUCCGGAUUUACUGGGUGUAAAGGGCGUGUAGGCGGGGACGAAAGUCAGAUGUGAAAACCACGGGCUCAACCUGUGGCCUGCAUUUGAAACUGUGUUUCUUGAGGACUGGAGAGGCAGACGGAAUUCCUAGUGGAGCGGUGAAAUGCGGAGAUAUUAGGAGGAACACCAGUGGCGAAGGCGGUCUGCUGGACAGUAACUGACGCUGAGGCGCGAAAGCGUGGGGAGCAAACAGGAUUAGAUACCCUUGUAGUC